Molecule: non-coding RNA, 24 nt
Filed under: Drosophila melanogaster (fruit fly)
Lineage: Eukaryota; Metazoa; Arthropoda; Insecta; Diptera; Drosophilidae
Also listed under: 6 other names
Source: RNAcentral
GGUUCAGUGGUAGAAUUCUCGCCU